UACGGAGGGUGCAAGCGUUAUCCGGAUUCACUGGGUUUAAAGGGUGCGUAGGCGGUCCGAUAAGUCAGUGGUGAAAGCCCGUAGCUCAACUACGGAAUUGCCAUUGAAACUGCCGGACUUGAAUCUGGUUGAAGUGGGCGGAAUAUAUCAUGUAGCGGUGAAAUGCUUAGAUAUGAUGUAGAACACCGAUUGCGAAGGCAGCUCACUAAGCCAACAUUGACGCUGAGGCACGAAAGCGUGGGGAGCGAACAGG
This 253-nucleotide ribosomal RNA is filed under the name uncultured bacterium. Its description in RNAcentral is "partial 16S ribosomal RNA". It matches the Rfam family "Bacterial small subunit ribosomal RNA", at positions 524 to 776 of the family's 1533-position model. RNAcentral also lists the same sequence under 1 other name. The record is from RNAcentral.